CUAAGUUCCCCAUGACCAGCCUCUGGGCAAUGUGACCUAUAAGGGGAGAGUGGAGAACAUGGCAUGUGUUCCAGGCCAGGAAUCUGACAGGGAGCAGGGAGGCGCCUGCCGUCUCAGGUGUGUGUACCUGAGUUUUCGGGGUCUCAGACUCCCAACAUCUUACCAGGUUUCCUGGAAUGGUCCAUUGUCCCAUGAGGACCCGUUCCUGGAAAGGAAAGCCACAGCCCAAGAGGGUCUCUAAGGAGGAAAUGCAACUUCUGAGUGAGAGAAGUGCCCCAGUGAUGAAAACUGUCACUACCUGGACUGUACAAGAGCAAAACUAUCACAUUUGGCAGGCGAGUGAAUCUCCAAAGUCACAGAGGCAGCACCUAUGCAGCCAGGGUCCAAGCUUAUGUAAAAGCUUGUGUAAAGGCCACACUCAAGCCCUGGCCCUGAGCUGAUGAGAGCUGUAGGUUCUGAUAUGAAAGUGGCCCUAAAGUUGGGUGUGUUUGUACAUGUUCGAGCGUCUGUGUACACAUGCCUGUGUGAAUGUGUUGAAAACUGAACCCAAGAGGCCUCGUGCUUGUGAGGCAAGCCCUCUACCAAUGAUCUAUUUUGUCAUCCCUCUUUUUACUUUUGAUUUUAAUGCAGGGUCUUUCUAAGUUCCCCAUGACCAGCCUUGUGCUUGCCCUGUAACUUAGGCAAUCCUUAAAUUUUCUGUCUGCUUCCUCAGCCUCCCAAGUAGGUGGGAUAACAGGUCAUGACCACCAGUGCCCAUCAGGAUUGACAUUUUUCAAGCCAUACCUCUAUUGAGUAAUGUAGAAAAUAUAGAACAGGAGGAGGAAGAGGGGGAGAAGAGGAGGAAGAAAACUCAAGCUGGGUGAGGCAGGGGACUCAAUCUCAUAGCUCCUUGAGUCAGACGAACACUCAUCUCUUCUCUCUCCCUCUCUUCCCCAUCACUUCUCACUGUACUGCUCAAGCCAGAGUUUCCAAUUAGCAUGAGCAACCUCCUGAUGGUUCCCAACUCCCAGGUCACCAUGUUAAUACCAAAUCAGCCAAGCAUAUUCUAGGCCAGAAUCCCUGGGCCUAAAUGAUCUUCCUGCCUCAAGACUCUAGAGUAUCCAGGACCACAGAUAUGCACACUCACACCCACCUCACUCUUCAGUAAACAGAAAGCAAAAGAUCUACAAGAAGCAAUGGUGUGGUGACAGAAGGUAGAGGCUGAAAAGAAAAUUAUACGAAUUCUAGGUUUAUAAAUAUAAAAAUUAAAAAAUAAACCCCAAAAGGCCACAGACCCAGGGCUAAGCCCUGCAGCCAAGACUAGCAGGCCAUAAAGAUAAAGGAGCACAGGAAACACUGUUCAGGCAGGACUGACAAGCCAUAAAAAAAAGGAAUGCAGGAACCAGCCUGAGUUAAUGGGACUGAUUCAUGGGACGUCUGGCAGGAAGACAUCCCCCCCCAGCUCACUCAGGGCCAUCCUCCAGACCCUGAUAAGCCCCUACUUGUGCUUUUCAGCCAUUGUGUCCUACAGAGAGCAUUCCAAGAAACCGGACAGCCCAAGCCUAACCAGAGGUGUUUCAAAUACAAAUGCUCCAUCAGUUUUGACAAACGUUUAAAAAUAAUGAGGACCUGAAGACCCUACCCUUCUCCUGAUUUAGUAGCUCUGUUCCAGGAACCAGGGGGCCAUAAAACCUUCUGGCGUCCCCUUAUCUCCUGGAGCCAUAAAACAAUCCUGUAACUUGUGGUGCAUUCCCCUUUGACAUCCCCCAUCCCCUGGUGCUCACAGCCUCUGCCUUUAAAUACUCUUUUUCCCAGCCUCUCGGGGUCGACACCUCUGUCUCCUGCGUGGGAUAUGUGUCGGCCCGGAGAUCUCUGUAAUAGGUCUCCGUAAUAAACCUCGCCUUUGCUUAUUACAUCCAAAAUGGUCUCUCUGUGUCUGGGGUCCGCGAUUUCCCAAGAUUUGAGUAAGGGUCUCUCUGCGUGGGAUCUUUCAUAUUUAUGGGGGCUCGUCCGGGAUCUUCGCGACCACCCCAGACUCCGAAGACCCCUUGGAGGUGAGUUGGAUGUUUGUCUGAGUGUUUCUGUGUGAGCGGCGCCGCAAUUGUCAGUCUGUGUCUGUCUCUGUUUUGGUUCCGCCGUGUGUGUAUAUAUGUGUGUCUUAGUACUGGUCAGUGUUAAGAGGGCAGAUGGGUAUUCCUGCCCUGUGGUAAGAGGGCAGAUGGGUAUUCCUGCCCUGUGGUAAGAGGGCAGAUGUGUGUUCCUGCCUUGUGCUGAGAGGGUGGAUGUGUAUUCCUGCCCUGUGCUAGGAGGGUGGAUGUGUGUUCCUGCCCUGUUCUAGGAGAGUGGAUGUGUAUCCCCACUCAGUGCAGCUGCCUUUGUGGUUCGUGAGGACCCUCUGGCUGCGGAAGGGGGGACGCCCCGGGCCCGCAAGGCUGCAGCCCCUGGAAGACGUUCCACGGGCGGAGAACAGUCGGGAGAGCCCGGCUAUGGACAGUCAGGAGGACCUGACUCUGGUUUUCUGGAACAAAGGAGAUGGAAUGCUCCUUUUACCUAGGCGGGAGUGGACGAGGAAUCCCACUCCGUCAGAGGUCGAGUUCGGCUGCCUAUUUAAAUAUAGGCACGGACAAGUGUGCUUGGUCGUUAGGACAAGAGGACACUCUGGAAUCCUGUUGGGAGGUGGAAUCAGAUGGUCCAUCUCAUCCCAAAAGCAGCUAAGGUUAAGCUGCAGUUUGGGCCACGUACUGAAGGUACCAGGCAUCUGUGAAAGUUGGUUAUAAGAUGCUUUGUCUUGGUCUUGUUUGUCUGGCUUGUUUUCUGUGGUAUUGUCGAGUGUCUUUUUGGCUUUUGUUUCGUUUUUGAAUUUUGGACUGACGACUGUGUUUGAAUUUUGGACUGACGACUGUGUUUGAAUUUGGACUGACGACUGUGUUUAAAAUCUUGGACUGAUGACUGUGUUUGAAAUCAUGAAACUGUUUGCUUUGUUCGUCAAAGAGUUUUGCUUGGUCCUCUUGGUGCUUAAGUUAAAAGUUAAAAAUAAUUUGCUUGAGAGAAAUUGUUUUCUGCCAGGGAGUUUUGUCUUUCUCUCUUGAGCCUCCUCCCCAAGGAGAGAGACCCCUCCCUUUACUCCCCUUGAUCAGCCUAGCUGCUGUUAACAGUUGUGUAAACAGACAUUAACAAAAACCUUGAGGACAAAACCUCUCGUAAAUAAAAAAGUUCCCCAGAUUAGGCCUCCGGUAUAAAACAAGUAUAGUGAGUAAGAAACUUAAUUUUAUGGACCCCGCUCUAGUGGCGGUGUGUUGGUUGAUAGCCAAUGUUAAGUUUUUAAAACAUAGUGUUUUAUCUGUGCUUGUGCUCCCAACACACAGUAGGGGGGAGCGAAACUAGCUGUGGAGCUGCUGCAGCGAGCAUGGGGACUUCUCAAGUCUCACCCAAUUUUUCUGGCUCUUCAGGAGCUGUUUAAAAGAAAAAGGUUUAGGAUAAAAAGAAACACUACAAAAAGAUUUCUUAGUGAAUUGCUACACCUUGGUUUGCGAUCUCUGGGAAUCUCACGAUGGACAGCUGAGAUAAGCUAAAAAAAAAAAAGAUUUAAAUUUUGCUUGAGAACAAGAAAUCUUAAAGGCGGAGUUUCAGCCGGUAUGACACUUAGUGCGUAGCUGCCUAAAAGAUCAGAAAUGCUGUCAACAGGAUAUAAAAAAGGGACAGGCUGUGUUAGAAAUGCUACAGGAAGAAUGAUCUAAAAAGGCUGAGAGUGAGGUGGGGGAGGACUCUAAAGAAAACAAGAACAAGAAAAGAAUUUCUGCUUUUAGUGGCCAGACCUUCAACUCUUGCUCACAGAAAGAGAGUGCUCAUUAGAAGUUCUUUAAGGAGCCUGCCUUAUCUGCUGGCCCUAUUCCAAGAGAGGAGCCAGUCUCCAGCAUUAAAUUACUUUUCUCACUGGUCAUCAUUAGCAUGGAGAAUGCCUUUGAUCUUAUCCCCACAGCAGCCAGUUCCUGCCCCUAUGGUCGAAAUGUCCCAGGUUGGGGGGCAGAGAAGCCCCUAAAAUAGUUUCAAAGAAUCUACAACAAACUGUAAAGAACUUUGUUUUGUUUUGCCAGUCAAGAUUUAAAAUUCAGGCUUUGGCUGUGGCCAAGGUCAGGAUUAAUGUUUUCUUUUCCAUGGGCCUUUAGCCCACUGAGAAAGUUUGGUAAAGGGCUGCUACUGAGGUCCUGAAAGCCCCAAGUGAACUGGUUACAAUUCUUUUGUCAGUGCUUAGAAUCUAACACCCAGGUUCUAACGUCUCUCCAUCCUUUUGUUAUUAGUUGUUACUGGAAGCCCAGUGCCAUUUAGAGGAUGGGUCUCUUGAGCGAUAAAGCCACUGAGCUGACACUAAAGGAAGGUACUCCUUAAGGGAAAAUCUAAGUCCAGAGAGACAACCUGUAACAGAUAGACUGCCCCUCUGCUCACUUCUCUGUUUCACAGACACAAGGUCUUUUUGUCCAAGAAAGCCUCCUGGCUUAGCUGUGUGACUAAAUGCUAUUUGCCCUCUUCAGUGGACCUCUAUUCUCAAGAUUCCCUUGUUUUCUCACCAUCCCAUUUGAGAUGCUUGUUAGUAACUGUUACAGGUCUUCUUUACCACCGAGGAAAGACAGAAUCCUACUAGAGGCCAGAAAAAGUGUUCCAGAGAUGGAUGGAAGGCCCUCACUUCUGCCUGCUCUCUUCAGACGCCUAAAGUUGGGGACAAUCUGGUCACCUUGCUGCCCAAUCCGGACCUGGAGCCACCACAGCACGAGUGUCAAACACUGACAGAAGCCCAUGGGUGGAGGAAAGACCUCUGUGACUGGCUGAUUGACCCCUGCUGAAAGCCGAGGAGCUUGUCCACAGACGGGAACAGUUCUCUUCACGAAUAAAGGUCAGAGACAAGUGGGUGCUGCCAUGGUAGACAACACAAUGUCAACUAGAAUGGCUGAACCCCAACCCCCCAGCACAUCAGCGCCACAGAUGCCUUUGCCAUCUCUUAGAUGCCCUGAUGAAGCCAACAACUGUGAGUACUAUUCAUUGCUCAGGAUAUCAGGAGGAAAGAGAUUCAGUGACAUGGGACAGUAACAAAACAGAUAAAGUGGCUCGAGAAAUGGCUAUACAGGAGCCUAUCCUGGUUACAGGCCUACAAGAGACAGCCACUGGGAACUGGGAUUAGACUAAGGGAUGGCCUCACUUAGAAUGUACAACAGAAGAAAAGGCCCAAGUUGUUUAAAAGAUAAAAAGACAAUGACACACUUGGGGAGAAAGCUGUACCCCCCCCCCCAAAGAACAAACAAAAGACUCACUUUGCCAAAUUAAGAAAUGGACUCAUUUAAGAGAUAAGAAGUUUGUCCAAAUAGUUAAAAUAUAUGUAAUAGACUUUAAGAUUUUAGCCAAGAGAGACAGUAAAAAGUAUAAGAUAUGUCAGUAAGUGAAUGCUUAACAAACAAACAAGACAAAGAGACCUAGAGAGUUUAAUAAAAAGUCAAAGUGAACUUCACUGAGAUAAAACCAGAAAAAUAUAAUCACAAGUAUCUCCUAGUGCUUGUAGAUACUUUUUCAGGAAUAGAUAGAAGCUUUCCUCACCAAACGAGAGACGGCCUCUACAAUCAUCAAGAAGAUACUGAAAGAAAUCUUCCCCAGGUCUGGAAUGCCCAAGGUAAUCUGGUCAGACAACGGUCCUACUUUCGUUGCCAAGGUAAGCCAGGGUGUGGCCAAGUAUUUAGAGGUCGAUUAGAAAUCACAUUGUAUUUACAGACCUCAAAGCUCAGGACACGUAGAGUAAAUAAAUAGAACUCUAAAAGAGACCCUGACCAAAUUGACCAUGGAGACUGGCACAGACUGGGUGACACUCCUUCCCUCUUGCUCUCUUCAGAGCAAGAAAUACCCCUUCCAGAUUCAGCCUUACCCCCUUUGAGAUCUUAUAUGGGGCCUCAGCUCCCCUGACUGUAUUAGAUGAUGUUACUGAACCAACAUGUCAUAGUAAUAAUGAUUUGUGUGCCAGGCUAAAAGACCUACAGGUGAUACAGAAAGAAAUCUGCUCACAGCUGACAGCAGCCUAUGCCCCGGAGACCCCUGAGACAUCCCAUCAGUUCCAGGUCGGAAGCAGCUACACUGAGCCCAGACACUCGAUCCUCGCUGGAAAGGACCAUACCUGGUGCUGCUGACCACCCUGACAGCCGUCAAUUCUCAGCCCUCACCAGCCGUGUACUAGCUGUUAGGGCUGAGAGCGGGGACCUAGAGAGAAAUUCAGUCAUGUUUGUCCUGGGUUCCAUCGAGAUAGGUGUGGGGAUAGGCUUGAUUUCUAUUACAAAUGAUGUAACAUUACAUAUGUUAGUACUCCUAACACUUCUUGGGACUGUGCCUCAGGGAUCACAACCUGUAUAAGUUUAAAAGUUCUAAAAGACAGUUAUGACCUUGGUAUAUAGGUUCAGAUAGUGUCCAGAUAGAAUCCUGAUGCUAAAGACUUUUUAGCUGACCUCCAAGAAUACCUAACCUCCCUCUCAGAGGUAGUCCUUCAAAAUAAGAAAAGAUUAGACCUGAUAUUCCUUAAAGAAGGAGUCUGUGUGCUACACUGAAAGAAUGUUGCUUCUAUACAGACCAUUCAGGAGUAAUUAAAGACUCCAUAAAUAAACUUAGAGAAAGGUUAGACAAAAGACAGACAGAAAAACACAUCAGAGAUAGUUUGAGAGCUAGUUUAGUAGAUCUCCCUGGAUGACUACCCUACUCUCUGCUACAGCUGGGCCAUUAUUAAUAAUUUUCUUGGUUUUAGUUUUUGGCUCCUGCGUGACAAACAGGUUAAUUGCUUUUGUUAAAAAUUGAGUGGGUGCUGUGCGGUUGAUGGUUGUGAGACAACAGUACCAGUCAGUUAGGACAACUGGUGAGACCAAAUAAGACUUGAUAUCAAAAUUCUAAGAUUAGAAUUAUUUAAUAGGAGAAGACGGGAAUGAAAAGAAAAUUAUACGAAUUCUAGGUUUAUAAAUAUAAAAAUUAAAAAAUAAACCCCAAAAGGCCACAGACCCAGGGCUAAGCCCUGCAGCCAAGACUAGCAGGCCAUAAAGAUAAAGGAGCACAGGAAACACUGUUCAGGCAGGACUGACAAGCCAUAAAAAAAAGGAAUGCAGGAACCAGCCUGAGUUAAUGGGACUGAUUCAUGGGACGUCUGGCAGGAAGACAUCCCCCCCCAGCUCACUCAGGGCCAUCCUCCAGACCCUGAUAAGCCCCUACUUGUGCUUUUCAGCCAUUGUGUCCUACAGAGAGCAUUCCAAGAAACCGGACAGCCCAAGCCUAACCAGAGGUGUUUCAAAUACAAAUGCUCCAUCAGUUUUGACAAACGUUUAAAAAUAAUGAGGACCUGAAGACCCUACCCUUCUCCUGAUUUAGUAGCUCUGUUCCAGGAACCAGGGGGCCAUAAAACCUUCUGGCGUCCCCUUAUCUCCUGGAGCCAUAAAACAAUCCUGUAACUUGUGGUGCAUUCCCCUUUGACAUCCCCCAUCCCCUGGUGCUCACAGCCUCUGCCUUUAAAUACUCUUUUUCCCAGCCUCUCGGGGUCGACACCUCUGUCUCCUGCGUGGGAUAUGUGUCGGCCCGGAGAUCUCUGUAAUAGGUCUCCGUAAUAAACCUCGCCUUUGCUUAUUACAUCCAAAA
Rattus norvegicus (Norway rat) is the source of this 7623-nucleotide long non-coding RNA. RefSeq lists it as uncharacterized. NCBI's taxonomy places the organism in Eukaryota, Metazoa, Chordata, Mammalia, Rodentia, Muridae. The record is from RefSeq and is a predicted model, not a curated record.